UGGGGAAUCUUGCGCAAUGGGCGAAAGCCUGACGCAGCCAUGCCGCGUGAAUGAUGAAGGUCUUAGGAUUGUAAAAUUCUUUCACCGGGGACGAUAAUGACGGUACCCGGAGAAGAAGCCCCGGCUAACUUCGUGCCAGCAGCCGCGGUAAUACGAAGGGGGCUAGCGUUGCUCGGAAUUACUGGGCGUAAAGGGAGCGUAGGCGGACAUUUAAGUCAGGGGUGAAAUCCCGGGGCUCAACCUCGGAAUUGCCUUUGAUACUGGGUGUCUUGAGUGUGAGAGAGGUAUGUGGAACUCCGAGUGUAGAGGUGAAAUUCGUAGAUAUUCGGAAGAACACCAGUGGCGAAGGCGACAUACUGGCUCAUUACUGACGCUGAGGCUCGAAAGCGUGGGGAGCAAACAGGAUUAGAUACCCUGGUAGUCCACGCCGUAAAACGAUGAUUGCUAGUCGUCGGGAAUGCAUGCAUUUCGGUGACGCAGCUAACGCUUAAGCAAAUCCGCCUGGGGAGUACGGUCGCAAGAUUAAAACUCAAAGGAAUUGACGGGGGUCAUAGCUGUUUCCUG
Molecule: ribosomal RNA, 564 nt
Filed under: uncultured bacterium
Lineage: Bacteria
Description: partial 16S ribosomal RNA
Rfam family: Bacterial small subunit ribosomal RNA
Source: RNAcentral